UACGACUACAUAUCAGGCAUAUCAAUAAGCGGAGGAAAAGAAACUACAAGGAUUCCCCUAGUAACGGCGAGUGAAGCGGGAAGAGCUCAAAUUUGAAAUCUUAAAGGGUUUCCCUUUACGAAUUGUAGUUUAAAGAAGUGUUUUCUGUUGGAGUUUCGGUAAAAGUUCUUUGGUAAUAGGACAUCAUAGAGGGUGAGAAUCCCGUAUUUGACCGUUACUUUCCAGCUGUGUGAUACACUUUCAAAGAGUCGGAUUGUUUGGGAAUGCAGUCCAAGAUGGGUGGUAAAUUUCAUCUAAAGCUAAAUAUUGGCGAGAGACCGAUAGCGAACAAGUACCGUGAGGGAAAGAUGAAAAGAACUUUGAAAAGAGAGUUAAACAGUACGUGAAAUUGUCAAAAGGGAAGCGUUUGACACCAGUGUUGUUUAGUUGAAAAUCAAUUCAAUAGUUUUUGAUUCUAAGUAGUAUUGACUUCAUCAGCCUGCUGCUUUCUUCUCAGAAAUUAUUGAAUGCACUUUUCAGUUAACAAGUCAACAUCAAUUUCUUUUGUUGUAAAAGGGUAAGAGGAAGGUGGCUUGCGCUUCGGCUCAAGUGUUUAUAGCCUUUUAUCUCUGCAAUCGGAGAGAUUGAGGUCUGCAGCGUAGAUCCUUCGGGGUUAGAUACAUUGGUGCUAAGCUAUAGCCUUGUAUAGACAACUUGUUGACUAUGCUCAGUCAUGUAGCUUACUCGCUGAUGCUAUUUUACCUACGCUUAGGAUGUUGAGUAGCGACAUACGCAC
Molecule: ribosomal RNA, 775 nt
Filed under: uncultured Neocallimastigales
Lineage: Eukaryota; Fungi; Neocallimastigomycota; Neocallimastigomycetes; Neocallimastigales
Description: partial large subunit ribosomal RNA
Rfam family: Eukaryotic large subunit ribosomal RNA
Source: RNAcentral